Long non-coding RNA from Salvelinus fontinalis (brook trout), 488 nucleotides. RefSeq lists it as uncharacterized. The record is from RefSeq and is a predicted model, not a curated record. Lineage: Eukaryota; Metazoa; Chordata; Actinopteri; Salmoniformes; Salmonidae. The transcript has 3 exons.
CAAAGUCCAGAGGAUGAGCAUGAUGAGUGGCGUGAUAGUCCCAGUGUUCUGAACAGAGAGAAGCAUUUUAAUUGUUCGUAGAGUAAGAGGCCUGGUCAAACACAUACUGAAUCUAGUUGGGCCGGCACUAUUCACUUCCGUAUAAGUGAUCUUCAAAUUGUUUAUUUCGUCUACAAUUAUGCGAUGGACCAGGUGAGAUGAGGUACCCCUCCAUUCUGUACGGAUGCAACAUGAAGGCUUCUUCUUGAACCGACCUACUUCAGGCACUUAGCUUCAAUUGUUUCUCACACUCUUUCAAAACUUUUCCCGCACCAUUGCACAACGUUUACCAAAUUUCCACUCACCAAACGAAACCCAAAAUGUCUGCCUCUGCCUACACAACUUUAUCCACUUGUAAGCCAAGCUAUUCUCUGGGACUCAAAUUUUGUCUAAGAAAAUAAAAGAAAUUAGCCCUACUCAAUGACUGAAAAUUAAAAGGGAACCUGAUA